This 507-nucleotide ribosomal RNA is filed under the name uncultured delta proteobacterium. RNAcentral's name for it is "bacterial SSU rRNA". It matches the Rfam family "Bacterial small subunit ribosomal RNA", at positions 29 to 507 of the family's 1533-position model. The record is from RNAcentral. Lineage: Bacteria; Deltaproteobacteria.
AAUGAACGCUGGCGGCGUGCCUAACACAUGCAAGUCGUACGAGAAAUCCCGAGCUUGCUUGGGAGAGUAAAGUGGCGCACGGGUGAGUAACGCGUGGGUAACCCACCUUCGAAUUUGGGAUAACUCCGCGAAAGCGGUGCUAAUACCGGAUAAGACCACAGCCGUUUCGGCGGCAGAGGUAAAAGCUGACCUCUCCAUGGAAGUUAGCGUUCGAAGACGGGCCCGCGUCCUAUCAGCUUGUUGGUGGGGUAAAGGCCUACCAAGGCAGCGACGGGUAGCUGGUCUGAGAGGAUGAUCCGCCACACUGGAACUGAAACACGGACCAGACUCCUACGGGAGGCAGCAGUGAGGAAUAUUGCGCAAUGGGGGCAACCCUGACGCAGCGACGCCGCGUGGAUGAUGAAGGCCUUCGGGUUGUAAAAUCCUGUCAGAUGGGAAGAAGUGUGUAGUACUUAAUACGUGCUACAUUUGACGGUACCAUCAAAGGAAGCACCGGCUAACUCCGUG